Pelobates cultripes (western spadefoot toad) is the source of this 254-nucleotide non-coding RNA. Lineage: Eukaryota; Metazoa; Chordata; Amphibia; Anura; Pelobatidae. The record is from the annotation of a GenBank genome assembly.
GUGUAUGAGUGCGCAGUGUGUGUGCAUAAAUGCAGUGUGUGUAUGAGUGCGCAGUGUGUGUAUGAGUGCAGUGUGUGUAUGAGUGCGCAGUGUGUGUGCAUAAAUGCAGUGUGUGUAUGAGUGCGCAGUGUGUGUAUGAAUGCAGUGUGUGUAUGAAUGCAGUGUGUGUGUGAUCCAGUGUGUAUGUGUGUGUUGCAGAGCCUUGGUGGGGGGGUGGGCAUUUUUAUUAAAAAAAAUGUAAUAUUAUUUUAAUU